RNAcentral lists this ribosomal RNA (192 nucleotides) under uncultured bacterium. RNAcentral's name for it is "partial 16S ribosomal RNA". It matches the Rfam family "Bacterial small subunit ribosomal RNA", at positions 340 to 524 of the family's 1533-position model. The record is from RNAcentral.
UACGGGAGGCAGCAGUGGGGAAUAUUGCACAAUGGGCGCAAGCCUGACGCAGCCAUGCCGCGUGUGUGAAGAAGGCCUUCGGGUUGUAAAGCACUUUCAGCGGGGAGGAAGGCGUUAAGGUUAAUAACCUUGGCGAUUGACGUUACCCGCAGAAGAAGCACCGGCUAACUCCGUGCCAGCAGCCGCGGUAAU